GUUGAACGCUGGCGGAAUGCUUUACACAUGCAAGUCGAACGGCAGCACGGGGGCAGCCCUGGUGGCGAGUGGCGAACGGGUGAGUAAUACAUCGGAACGUGCCCGGUCGUGGGGGAUAACGUAGCGAAAGUUACGCUAAUACCGCAUACGAUCUGAGGAUGAAAGCGGGGGACCUUCGGGCCUCGCGCGAUCGGAGCGGCCGAUGUCAGAUUAGGUAGUUGGUGGGGUAAAGGCCUACCAAGCCGACGAUCUGUAGCGGGUCUGAGAGGACGACCAGCCACACUGGGACUGAGACACGGCCCAGACUCCUACGGGAGGCAGCAGUGGGGAAUUUUGGACAAUGGGCGCAAGCCUGAUCCAGCCAUUCCGCGUGCAGGACGAAGGCCUUCGGGUUGUAAACUGCUUUUGUACGGAACGAAAAGGCUCUGGCUAAUACCUGGGGCUCAUGACGGUACCGUAAGAAUAAGCACCGGCUAACUACGUG
RNAcentral lists this ribosomal RNA (484 nucleotides) under uncultured bacterium. RNAcentral describes it as "partial 16S ribosomal RNA". It matches the Rfam family "Bacterial small subunit ribosomal RNA", at positions 28 to 507 of the family's 1533-position model. The record is from RNAcentral.